UUCUUCCUUUCUUCGAAACACACCCUCCUCUUCUUUGAAACAAUGCCUUAAAAGCGAAAACCCUAACACAGAGCUCAUCACCCUAACGGCGGCGGCGCUCUUCACUUAACAUAGAGCUCAUCGCCGGUGCUCUCACUCUCUCCCCCCAAUAACAUUCGUUGGUCAACCUCGUUCCAACCCUCUCUAGCAACCCCUCCGUAGGUGCCACCUCUGCCGGUGUUCCCUGCGUCGGCGCUCCUUCCGUCUCUCCUGUAAACACCUAUCCCUCCUUCGGCGGUGACUCACUCUGGUAAGGCCUCCCUCGGCGCUCACUCUCUAUCGCAAACCCUCCGUCGACGCUCACUCUCUCUCGCAAACCCUCAAUCGUCACUCCUCCCUCCAUGGUUCAGCACCCGCCGCGUUGCCGUCUCCCUCUCUGAAGUCGUCACGCCGCCGUCUCCAUCUCCUUCACUCGUCGCACCUCCGUCAGCCACGUUAAGCGUUCGCAGCACCGUGCUGUGGUAGUGCUCAGCUGCUGCUAUGUGAUGCUGAACUACUGCUUUGCCUGUUCUGUUAUUCUAGUUUUUCUACAUCAACUAGCAGGGACUCCUACUGGGAGAAAAAGUCUAAGGCUGCUGGUCUUAGGGCAACUGCAAACCAUUUGCGUGAUUUGAAUCCUGAGGAUGCGCACGAAAUUCUUAGGCAAGCUGCUGAAAUUUUUGAAGGAAUAGGAAUAAUUAAUAUUGCAGCUCAAUGUUUUUCAGAUUUGGGGGAUCAUGAAAAAGCUGAUAUAAAUUUGAAGUUUAGCUUCUAUAUCUAUGCUCGUCAUCUGUUAUUAGUUACUUCUCCACAUUUUUUUCUCUUCUGUUAUCGAAGUCCGAUGAAGAAAUCAAUGUAAAUAGAAAACUAGCUAAGGAAUUGGUUGACAAAUGGGUAAUUAAUCUGUGAAACUCUUGCUUCAGCAUGUAUCAUUUAUCUUUCCUUAAAAAUUAUACUGAUUCUUGAAUACAUUAUAAUAGUAUGCAUUUUCUUUUUUUACAAGCUAUCCAUUUUCAUCCAGGAGUAGUUUUCUUUUUUGGGGACAGAUACUUAAAAAAGCACAUCAUUUUUGCUUUAUAAUUGCAUAGCCGACCCAUAUUUAAUAAGAGUACACAGUUUGAGGACAUGAGAAAUGCUGAGAACGACAGGAUUUCUUUCAGGAGGCCAACUGUUAAAAAGUGCUCAACCAUUCUGAUUUAAAUUGCUUGUCUUAAGCAAUAUUUGUCUUAUGUAUUGCAAUAUGCUGAAUUUCUACAGGCCAGCAAAUAAAGCAGCAGGGAUAGAAUAUAAAGAUGGUGAUCUUGAUUUGGAAUUUCCACAGCCUAGGUCUGGACAGCCUUCUUCAAGGCAACAUGCAUCAAGGCCAGAAGCAACACCUUUGGGUUUUGUGAUCCGUCCCUAGUCUAAAAUUGAUCCAAAAGAAGUUAGAGUGCGAGCAAAAGCUGCUGCACAAGAUCAGCAGAGAAUGAAGCCUUUCCCAGUUGAGCAAGCAAAAAUUCUAUCACUCUCGCAUAUACCAGCCAAUGGAACUUGAAGAAGUUCUAUCAGAAGGAGAUAGUGAUGAUGAAGUUGAUGAUGAAGUUGCUGAUUUGAAGAGCUAAGGAGGCUUGGUAAUUUUGACAAUGUGACCAAUGCUGAGAAGAAAUUCAUGCAUAUGUAGAACUCAUUUAUUCGAAAGCAAUGGUAAGUUCUUUUCAUUUUGACUCUAUUCGCUCUCUGUUCGUUGCGUCAUCCUUGUUUUGAUAAAGGGGCAAAACAUAAAAAAGAUGUAAUCAAUUUCAAGACUGAGACUUUCAUAAAUUGUGAGCAUAAUAACCAGCAACAUGCAUCAGCCAUGUAUCUUGUGUUUACAGGGCUGUUUUAGCUUGGCUUUCUAUUAUUGCGCACCGCAACAAAGACAAGAAGGCAGGGGGAAAACUGAUCACUGUGGCUGAUGUUGUAAAGGAACACUGGACAACUUAUAGAAGAAAUUUUUUUUAGAUAUGACUAUGAGGAAUGUGAACAGGAAUGUGAAUCUGAAGGUGCCAAUAAAAUGGUAGCAUACCUACGAGAGACUGCAUCAAAGAGCAAGACUGGUGAUAAGUUCUAAUGAUAAUUUUGAUAGUUCUAAUGAUCUCCUAAGUUCUAAUGAUGAACUUAUUUUGUCCUAAUUUAAUUAUUAGUUUUGUUAAAGUAUUGUAAUUUUUUAAUUACAAUUUUAGCAUAUAAAUAAUUCAUGUAAAUCAAUAA
Long non-coding RNA from Arachis stenosperma, 2247 nucleotides. RefSeq lists it as uncharacterized. The transcript has 8 exons. NCBI's taxonomy places the organism in Eukaryota, Viridiplantae, Streptophyta, Magnoliopsida, Fabales, Fabaceae. The record is from RefSeq and is a predicted model, not a curated record.